UACGGAGGAUGCGAGCGUUAUCCGGAUUUAUUGGGUUUAAAGGGUGCGCAGGCGGCGUGUCAAGCAAGCGGUAAAAUAGCGGGGCUCAACCCCGUCGAGCCGUUUGAACUGGCGCGCUUGAGUUCAGGCGAGGUAUGCGGAAUGCGUGGUGUAGCGGUGAAAUGCAUAGAUAUCACGCAGAACCCCGAUUGCGAAGGCAGCAUACCGGUGCACAACUGACGCUCAGGCACGAAAGCGUGGGUAUCGAACAGG
RNAcentral lists this ribosomal RNA (252 nucleotides) under uncultured Bacteroidales bacterium. RNAcentral describes it as "partial 16S ribosomal RNA". It matches the Rfam family "Bacterial small subunit ribosomal RNA", at positions 524 to 776 of the family's 1533-position model. Lineage: Bacteria; Pseudomonadati; Bacteroidota; Bacteroidia; Bacteroidales. The record is from RNAcentral.